This 255-nucleotide ribosomal RNA is filed under the name uncultured Pseudomonas sp. RNAcentral describes it as "partial 16S ribosomal RNA". It matches the Rfam family "Bacterial small subunit ribosomal RNA", at positions 96 to 354 of the family's 1533-position model. Lineage: Bacteria; Pseudomonadati; Pseudomonadota; Gammaproteobacteria; Pseudomonadales; Pseudomonadaceae. The record is from RNAcentral.
CGGCGGACGGGUGAGUAAUGCCUGGAAUCUGCCUGGUAGUGGGGGACGAACGUUUCGAAAGGAACGCUAAUACCGCAUACGUCCUACGGAGAAAGCAGGGACCUUCGGGCCUUGCGCUAUCAGAUGAGCCUAGGUCGGAUUAGCUAGUUGGUGAGGUAAUGGCUCACCAAGGCGACGAUCCGUAACUGGUCUGAGAGGAUGAUCAGUCACACUGGAACUGAGACACGGUCCAGACUCCUACGGGAGGCAGCAGGU